Long non-coding RNA from Hemicordylus capensis (graceful crag lizard), 623 nucleotides. RefSeq lists it as uncharacterized. The transcript is spliced from 2 exons. Lineage: Eukaryota; Metazoa; Chordata; Lepidosauria; Squamata; Cordylidae. The record is from RefSeq and is a predicted model, not a curated record.
AGCUCUUCUCUCCCCGCCUCUCAGCUGAUCGGCAGGUGGGCGGGGCUUACAGAGAGGCCUCCCUGUAGGCCUCCCUGAAGCCUGAACUCGGCAGGCCCCAAGGAAGCCAGAAAGAAGAAGGCAGGCAGUGUUCUCUGCAGCAGCAGACCCUCUGCCCAGAACAUCCAGCACAGCUUUUGCCAGUAAAAGAAAGUCACCGACCGACCCCACAAAAGCCAGGGAGAAUACAAUUUGUCAGACAACUUGCUUUAUUUGUAUGGGAAGUAUUGAGUUUCACCGAGUAAAGGGCUUGCAAACGUGAGUGGCAGAAAACAACAUGGUUAUGAGCAGUACCUGGACCCACACACAGAGAAAGCUUGGAAGCCGACAGUGUGCUCUGGCUUGCAUUCUUGAAUGCGUUUUUUCCUUAGUCAAACAGCAAUAAAGAUUCUGAAUGGAAGGAUGUGUACACAAAGAGCCCGGCUAAGUGGUGAAAGACGACGACUCCUAAAGCGGGCUUUUUCUCAUAAUAAACUCUGCACCAAUAUCUUUAUUGCUCAUCUCCUCCUUAAUGUUAUUAACAGUACAGCCUAAAAAAUGUUUCAAGAAAUCAAAUAAAGAGUGAGGUCUUUCGUUUCAGUGCA